RNAcentral lists this transfer RNA (73 nucleotides) under Felis catus (domestic cat). It matches the Rfam family "tRNA". From Rfam's summary of the family: Transfer RNA (tRNA) molecules are approximately 80 nucleotides in length. Their secondary structure includes four short double-helical elements and three loops (D, anti-codon, and T loops). Further hydrogen bonds mediate the characteristic L-shaped molecular structure. tRNAs have two regions of fundamental functional importance: the anti-codon, which is responsible for specific mRNA codon recognition, and the 3' end, to which the tRNAs corresponding amino acid is attached (by aminoacyl-tRNA synthetases). tRNAs cope with the degeneracy of the genetic code in two manners: having more than one tRNA (with a specific anti-codon) for a particular amino acid; and 'wobble' base-pairing, i.e. permitting non-standard base-pairing at the 3rd anti-codon position. RNAcentral also lists the same sequence under 5 other names. Lineage: Eukaryota; Metazoa; Chordata; Mammalia; Carnivora; Felidae. The record is from Rfam by way of RNAcentral.
GCCUGGCUAGCUGAGUUGGUAGAGCAUGAGACUGUUGAUUUUAGGGUUGUGAGUUUGAGCCCUAUGUUGGGUA